GCGUGAGAAUCUGCCCUCAGGAGGGGGAUAACGGCUGGAAACGGCCGCUAAUACCCCAUAUGCCGAGAGGUGAAAUGAAUUUCGCCUGAGGAUGAGCUCGCGUCUGAUUAGCUAGUUGGUAGGGUAAAGGCCUACCAAGGCUCCGAUCAGUAGCUGGUCUGAGAGGAUGAUCAGCCACACUGGGACUGAGACACGGCCCAGACUCCUACGGGAGGCAGCAGUGGGGAAUUUUCCGCAAUGGGCGAAAGCCUGACGGAGCAACGCCGCGUGAGGGAUGAAGGCCUCUGGGCUGUAAACCUCUUUUAUCAAGGAAGAAGAUCUGACGGUACUUGAUGAAUAAACCACGGCUAAUUCCGUGCCAGCAGCCGCGGUAAUACGGGAGUGGCAAGCGUUAUCCGGAAUUAUUGGGCGUAAAGCGUCCGCAGGCGGUCUUACAAGUCUGUCGUUAAAGCGUGGAGNUUAACUCCAUUUCAGCGAUGGAAANCUGUAAGACUAGAGUGUGGUAGGG
This 508-nucleotide ribosomal RNA is filed under the name uncultured cyanobacterium. RNAcentral describes it as "bacterial SSU rRNA". It matches the Rfam family "Bacterial small subunit ribosomal RNA", at positions 115 to 656 of the family's 1533-position model. Lineage: Bacteria; Bacillati; Cyanobacteriota. The record is from RNAcentral.